ACCCUAAUCUAAUAAGGUUUUGAUAUCUGGAGCUCAUAGGUGGGAGACAGAUAAUACAUACUUACAAGACGUUUAUUGCAUAGUCAAACCAUGGAUCUAGAAGAACAAGUCGAUAAGUCAAAUCAAGAUAAGCAUGUGUGGCGAGUGAAUGGUGUAUGGUGAUGAUGGUGAUAACAAUGGUGAAAGUCUAAUUCUACUUUUGCUCUUUUUAGAGGAUAUAUACCUUUCUUGCACUUUGAAGCUUUUUGAGGAGAAUGAGAUGCUCUAUAUUUGAUUUUUCUUUUUCUCUCAGGUGGGUAUCUUGUACCCCUAAUUCUACUAUCGGACACUUGUCCAUUUUUACCUCUCGUCUUACUUUUUCUUUCCUUCGAGGUUCCGGGCACUUGCCCCUUUUUAUUUCCUUGUAUUUUUCCUUUUUUUAGAGCACUCAUCUCCUGAAAAUAAUAUACCAAGUGGUAGUAACCAAGAUAACUCGAGCAUUUAUUUCACAGGGAAAAAUAGAAAUAGGAGAAUGUUUUUGGCUAUUCUCUCCCGGAUUAGGAGUAGAAUACUUUUAGGUGAAUCUGGAGAUGGAAUUGAGUGGAUGUAUGUGGAUGCGUACUUCUAGAGUCGAAGUAGCAUGUAUGAGUGAACGUGCAAGUGAAUCUUGAUUUUAACCGUAUGACAAGCUCCUAAGGGUCUAAACAGCUUGACCACACUCAAUGCUCAUAAGCAGUAAAAAGUAAAUAUAUGGUUCAUAGUCUAAUAAGCAUGUAUAUGUGGCUGUGGUAGGAUUUUAAACUCUCAUCAUACAAGAACUCAUCAUGUGUUAUUUUAAAGAUUUUCAAAGAUAAAAUUCUCCAGAAUUCUAGCAUCUCUAGGAACAGAUAAAUAGCAGCUCAACC
This 884-nucleotide long non-coding RNA is filed under the name Sorghum bicolor (sorghum). RNAcentral describes it as "long non-coding RNA (SBIC_LNC010644)". Lineage: Eukaryota; Viridiplantae; Streptophyta; Magnoliopsida; Poales; Poaceae. The record is from RNAcentral.